Molecule: long non-coding RNA, 302 nt
Filed under: Nicotiana benthamiana
Lineage: Eukaryota; Viridiplantae; Streptophyta; Magnoliopsida; Solanales; Solanaceae
Description: long non-coding RNA (NBEN_LNC038841)
Source: RNAcentral
UUUCCAUCCUGUUUUUCCUAUUUCAUGCUUCCCGUAUCUCAUUAUAUGUGUUUGAUGAAUUUGAAGUGUUUCGGAAUGGUUUUGAUAAGAAAUGAGAUACUUAGUCUCUUUAAGGAAAGCUUAAGAUGAAAAAGUCAACCGGGCAUUGACUUGUGAGUUAGAGGGUUCAGAAUGGAUUUUCGGUGAUUCGACUAGUUUCAGAUGGUGAUUUGAGACUUGGGAGAGAAAACGGAAUUGAAUUGGAGGUCCGGUGUAGAAUUAGGCUUGAAUUGGCUAAGUUCGAAUUUUGGCAAAUUCCGGUU